RNAcentral lists this ribosomal RNA (446 nucleotides) under uncultured bacterium. RNAcentral's name for it is "partial 16S ribosomal RNA". It matches the Rfam family "Bacterial small subunit ribosomal RNA", at positions 338 to 795 of the family's 1533-position model. The record is from RNAcentral.
CCUACGGGUGGCAGCAGUCGAGAAUCAUUCACAAUGGGGGAAACCCUGAUGGUGCGACGCCGCGUGGGGGAAUGAAGGUCUUCGGAUUGUAAACCCCUGUCAUGUGGGAGCAAAUUAAAAAGAUAGUACCACAAGAGGAAGAGACGGCUAACUCUGUGCCAGCAGCUGCGGUAAUACAGAGGUCUUAAGCGUUGUUCGGAAUCACUGGGCGUAAGGCGGGCGUAGGCUGUUUCGUAAGUCGUGUGUGAAAGGCGCGGGCUCAACCCGCGGACGGCACAUGAUACUGCGAGACUAGAGUAAUGGAGGGGGAACCGGAAUUCUCGGUGUAGCAGUGAAAUGCGUAGAUAUCGAGAGGAACACUCGUGGCGAAGGCGGGUUCCUGGACAUUAACUGACGCUGAGGCACGAAGGCCAGGGGAGCGAAAGGGAUUAGAUACCCGAGUAGUC